UAACACAGAAGAAGGUAAUGAAAAGAGUAACACAGAAGAAGGAAUUUGAAGUAACAAGAAGAAGGAAUUUGAAGAGAGUAACACAGAAGAAAGUAUUGAAAAGAGUAACACAGAAGAAGGUAUUGAAAAGAGUAACACAGAAGAAGGUAUUGAAAAGAGUAACACAGAAGAAGGUAUUGAAAAGAGUAACACAGAAGAAGGUAUUGAAAAGAGUAACACAGAAGAAGGUAUUGAAAAGAGUAACACAGAAGAAGGUAUUGAAAAGAGUAACACAGAAGAAGGUAUUGAAAAGAGUAACACAGAAGAAGGUAUUGAAAAGAGUAACACAGAAGAAGGAAUUUGAAAAGAGUUACACAAGAAGAAGGAAUUUGAAGAGAAAUAACACAAGAAGAAGGAAUUUGAAGUAACACCAGAAGAAGGAAAAUGCAGAGAAGUAACACAGGAAAAUGAAAAUGGAAAUGAAAAGAAUCAUCCACCUUUCGGCCCAAACCAACAUCACAAAAUUAUGGGCGAGUCUCUUCUGGGAGGAAAGUGGCUCGUUCAGAGCCAGGAACAUCAGAAAGGAUGAUAGAAACAUCAAGAAAAGGAAAAGAGAAAAAUCAUCCAGCUUUCGGCCCAAACUAACAUCACUAAAUUAUGGGCGAGUCUCUUCUGGGAGGAAAGCGGCUCGUUCAGACCCAGGAACAUCAGAAAGGAUGAUAGGAACAUCAAGAAAAGGAAAACAAAAAAGUCAUCCAGCUUUCGGCCCCUGGAGCCGCAGGGUGGGUGACGGGUGAAUCUCCUCUGGGGAGAAGGAGGCUAACCCACAC
Molecule: long non-coding RNA, 809 nt
Organism: Eriocheir sinensis (Chinese mitten crab)
Lineage: Eukaryota; Metazoa; Arthropoda; Malacostraca; Decapoda; Varunidae
Exons: 2
Source: RefSeq, a predicted model, not a curated record